Molecule: long non-coding RNA, 469 nt
Organism: Mus musculus (house mouse)
Lineage: Eukaryota; Metazoa; Chordata; Mammalia; Rodentia; Muridae
Product: predicted gene, 34406
Exons: 3
Source: RefSeq, a predicted model, not a curated record
UACAGUGUUAGCUAGGACUAUGGUAAUGACAACAGUAAUGACACCCCUAGAGGAGAGGAUCACAAGACCUAAACCUGGGAUUCCACUCAGUACUCCCUUCUUCUCUUCUCCAGCUGCACAUGAUCUUGAAAGGUGAAAGGUUAACUGAAGAUGUGAGUUCAUGAAGCAGCUUUGGUUUGAGGUGGCCAGUCUACCACUUGUCUUCUUGCAGAGUAAUGAACACAUGUGGGAAACCUUGUCUUUACUCAAAAAGGGAACGUGUCAUCAGCACAAGGUUUAACAUGCUGAAGUUGAUAGUGAGUUCCCACUGGACGUCAAACAACCACCCUCCUCUGUCCAUUCACAACAGUGGUUCCUCACUUGAGCAAAAUUCACGAAACAGUGCAGAAUAUUUUAGGAAAAAAUUCCAUGACCCUUCCAAAUCUGAGAGAGUUGUGUUAACUCAUUCCAGACUUCAAGUAAUCAGGUG